UACAGAGGGGGCUAGCGUUGUUCGGAAUUACUGGGCGUAAAGGGCGCGUAGGUGGCCUGUUAAGUCGAACGUGAAAUCCCCGGGCUCAACCCGGGAACUGCGUCCGAGACUGGCAGGCUCGAAUCCGGGAGAGGGAUGUGGAAUUCCAGGUGUAGCGGUGAAAUGCGUAGAUAUCUGGAGGAACACCAGAGGCGAAGGCGGCAUUCUGGACGACAUCAGACGCUGAGACGCGACAGCACGGGGAGCGAACGGG
RNAcentral lists this ribosomal RNA (253 nucleotides) under uncultured bacterium. RNAcentral describes it as "partial 16S ribosomal RNA". It matches the Rfam family "Bacterial small subunit ribosomal RNA", at positions 524 to 776 of the family's 1533-position model. The record is from RNAcentral.